Molecule: long non-coding RNA, 921 nt
Organism: Erigeron canadensis
Lineage: Eukaryota; Viridiplantae; Streptophyta; Magnoliopsida; Asterales; Asteraceae
Exons: 2
Source: RefSeq, a predicted model, not a curated record
AGGCCUAACCAUGAAUAAAGUUAAUCCCUUUUAUGGUGUCUUUUGUAUGCAUAUAUUAUUUUAAUAGCGUUUACAUUGUUAAAACGCCAUGAGUGACUAGGUGGUAAUUACAGAUCUUCAAAUAUCCAUUUUUCUACUUUAAAAAACCUAUCUGUUAUAAAGUAGAUUGCUAUUAAAAAACAUUGCCAUGAUUAUUUGUUCAGAUAGGUUUUUUAAAGUAGAUUGCCAACGAUAUAAAAUAAUCAUGGCGAGGAAGCUAUCAACACACCGACUAUCUAAAUUGAAUAAGAAACAAAUAGCGAAACCUAAUGGUAAUCCUUUCCAUGUUAUAAUUUAGUUUUGUCUUUAUGGUGUUUUGGAUAAUAAUUUAUGGUGAAGAAUUAGAAUAGGUUGACGAUGUUUAGCUAAGUGUGAGACCUUUCAAGCGUAAUGGUUGUAAGUUUGAACCGGGAGAGUAUAGGCAGGCUGCAAUCAUUCUUGAAGAUGUGACCAAGCCUGUGCUUGACAGAUUUAGAGGGGAGACUCUAGAAUUUCACAAAGUAGUAACUUUUAGGUAUAAGGUAGAGAUUAUUGAUGUCUGAACUAAAAAUGGUUGGUAAUUGUCUACAUGCACCACUGGAAAGUCAGAAAGGGGAUUUCACACAGAGACCGCAACUCCAGGUGCGAUGGCUGUGAGUCAGAGGUCUACUUUCUACAAGUGAGGUAUGUAUGUGGUGGAAUAGUUAGCAGACUUGGGAAGGCAAAAAAAAAGAGUAGUGGUUUAUAUAGAUAUGUCUUAAAGGCUGCAAGCAACAUUUUUAUAUCGAAAUAGAAUCGGAAACAAGUCCAUAGUUAGUGACACCUAUAUUACAAUUGAACUCAGUAAUGAAAGCAAUGAUCUAACAGGUACAGUUUCUAGGCAUCUCAUGCCCUUUGUACACA